AACGAACGCUGGCGGCAUGCCUAACACAUGCAAGUCGAACGAGACCUUCGGGUCUAGUGGCGCACGGGUUCGUAACGCGUGGGAACCUGCCCUUAGGUUCGGACUAACUCCCCGACAGGGGUGCUAAUACCGGAUAAUGUCUUCGGCCCAAAGAUUUAUCGCCUUUGGAUGGGCCCGCGUUGGAUUAGCUAGUUGGUAGGGUAAAAGCCUACCAAGGCGACGAUCCAUAGCUGGUCUGAGAGGAUGCUCAGCCACACUGGGACUGAGACACGGCCCAGACUCCUACGGGAGGCAGCAGUGGGGAAUAUUGGACAAGGGGCGAAAGCCUGAUCCAGCAAUGCCGCGUGAGUGAUGAAGGCCUUAGGGUUGUAAAGCUCGUUUACCCGGGAUGAUAAUGACAGUACCGGGAGAAUAAGCUCCGGCUAACUCCGUG
This 433-nucleotide ribosomal RNA is filed under the name uncultured bacterium. RNAcentral describes it as "partial 16S ribosomal RNA". It matches the Rfam family "Bacterial small subunit ribosomal RNA", at positions 29 to 507 of the family's 1533-position model. The record is from RNAcentral.